This 252-nucleotide ribosomal RNA is filed under the name uncultured bacterium. RNAcentral's name for it is "partial 16S ribosomal RNA". It matches the Rfam family "Bacterial small subunit ribosomal RNA", at positions 524 to 776 of the family's 1533-position model. The record is from RNAcentral.
UACGUAGGUCCCGAGCGUUGUCCGGAUUUAUUGGGCGUAAAGCGAGCGCAGGUGGUUUAUUAAGUCUGGUGUAAAAGGCAGUGGCUCAACCAUUGUAUGCAUUGGAAACUGGUAGACUUGAGUGCAGGAGAGGAGAGUGGAAUCCCAUGUGUAGCGGUGAAAUGCGUAGAUAUAUGGAGGAACACCGGUGGCGAAAGCGGCUCUCUGGCCUGUAACUGACACUGAGGCUCGAAAGUGUGGGGAGCAAACAGG